This 413-nucleotide ribosomal RNA is filed under the name uncultured bacterium. RNAcentral's name for it is "bacterial SSU rRNA". It matches the Rfam family "Bacterial small subunit ribosomal RNA", at positions 917 to 1333 of the family's 1533-position model. The record is from RNAcentral.
GGGCCCGCACAAGCGGUGGAGCAUGUGGUUUAAUUCGAUGAUACGCGAGGAACCUUACCAGGACUUAAAUGUAAGUUGCAUGAUUCAGAAAUGAAUCUUUCUUCGGACUACUUACAAGGUGCUGCAUGGUUGUCGUCAGCUCGUGCCGUGAGGUGUCAGGUUAAGUCCUAUAACGAGCGCAACCCCUAUCGUUAGUUGCCAUCAAGUAAAGUUGGGAACUCUAGCGAAACUGCCGGUGCAAACCGAGAGGAAGGUGGGGAUGACGUCAAAUCAUCACGGCCCUUACGUUCUGGGCUACACACGUGCUACAAUGGUCGGUACAGAAAGCAGCCACUAUGCGAAUAGGAGCUAAUCUAUAAACCCUAUCACAGUUCGGAUCGGAGUCUGCAACUCGACUCCGUGAAGCUGGAAUC